AUUGAACGCUGGCGGCAGGCUUAACACAUGCAAGUCGAGCGAGCGGCGGACGGGUGAGUAAUGUCUGGGAAACUGCCUGAUGGAGGGGGAUAACUACUGGAAACGGUAGCUAAUACCGCAUACCAUCAGAUGUGCCCAGAUGGGAUUAGCUAGUAGGUGGGGUACUGGCGCACCUAGGCGACGAUCCCUAGCUGGUCUGAGAGGAUGACCUGCCACACUGGAACUGAGAGACGGGCCAGACUCCUACGGGAGGCAGCAGUGGGGAAUAUUGCACAAUGGGCGAAAGCCUGAUGAAGCCAUGCCGCGUGUGGGAAGAGGGCCUUCGGGUUGUAAAGCACUGUCAGCGAGGAGGCGUUACUCGCAGAAGAAGCACCGGCUAACUCCGUGCCAGCAGCCGCGGUAAUUC
Molecule: ribosomal RNA, 406 nt
Filed under: uncultured bacterium
Lineage: Bacteria
Description: partial 16S ribosomal RNA
Rfam family: Bacterial small subunit ribosomal RNA
Source: RNAcentral